Molecule: long non-coding RNA, 586 nt
Organism: Brassica oleracea var. oleracea
Lineage: Eukaryota; Viridiplantae; Streptophyta; Magnoliopsida; Brassicales; Brassicaceae
Exons: 3
Source: RefSeq, a predicted model, not a curated record
UUUGCUUCGUCUUAGCGCUGCAGGCUGUGCCGUAUCUCUUCACAUCUCUCCGCCUCCACCUUCAUCUAUGUAACACUUCAGUUAUGUAUACAUUAGUCCAAGCGUUACGUCUUUUGCUCAGCUACUCCCACUCUCUCGAAAUAAAUCAGCAUUAACAUCCUCCAACGUAACCGACUGAAGCUUCGCUAAUAAAUCUCUUCGUUGCUUGAGAUGAAUAGUCCCACCGAACAAAAUCCCAUAAGUCAUUCUCUAAGAAGAAAUAGGAGCUACUUCAUUGAAUCAUGCAGCACUAACAAGGGGAAUCGAGUUGCUAAAAAAUUGCUGUCCAAAGCUUGAUGUUUUUGAUGGUGCCUUGCUGCUGAUAUUGGAGAUCUUGAGUUAAUCAACUGUUUACUUAAAGCUGGAGGUGAUCUUAAUCAGAAAGACGAGAUUGGACAUUUGUUGGAGUUCUCGCUCACAUGGAAUCAAAUAAGAACAAUAGUGAAACUCAAGAAAGUCAAAAUCUGGAGAGACGGUGAUGCCUUCAGGUUUGUUUGAAACCCUCAUGAUGUUUUUUAUCAUUUUUUUUCAGUAUAAUUGAAGUGUU